RNAcentral lists this transfer RNA (73 nucleotides) under Sphaerospermopsis sp. SIO1G2. RNAcentral's name for it is "tRNA-Arg". It matches the Rfam family "tRNA". Rfam says of the family: Transfer RNA (tRNA) molecules are approximately 80 nucleotides in length. The record is from RNAcentral. Lineage: Bacteria; Bacillati; Cyanobacteriota; Cyanophyceae; Nostocales; Aphanizomenonaceae.
GCUCUUGUAGCUCAAUGGAUAGAGCGACACUCUCCUAAAGUGUAGGUUGACCGUUCGAGUCGGUCCAAGAGCG